RNAcentral lists this ribosomal RNA (98 nucleotides) under Jaculus jaculus (lesser Egyptian jerboa). Lineage: Eukaryota; Metazoa; Chordata; Mammalia; Rodentia; Dipodidae. The record is from RNAcentral.
UAUGGUCAUACUACCUUGAAUAAGCCUGAUCUUGGAAACUAAAGCAGGGUCAGGCCUGGUUAGUAUGUGGAUGGGAGAAAUACCAGUUGAACUCAGAA